GGCCCCGUGGCUCAGCGGUUAGCGCAUUGGCCUAGUGAGCCAGGGUUUGUGGGUUCGAAUCCCACUUGGGCCU
This is a non-coding RNA of Syngnathoides biaculeatus (alligator pipefish), 73 nucleotides long. NCBI's taxonomy places the organism in Eukaryota, Metazoa, Chordata, Actinopteri, Syngnathiformes, Syngnathidae. The record is from the annotation of a RefSeq genome assembly.